This 494-nucleotide ribosomal RNA is filed under the name uncultured bacterium. RNAcentral describes it as "partial 16S ribosomal RNA". It matches the Rfam family "Bacterial small subunit ribosomal RNA", at positions 28 to 507 of the family's 1533-position model. The record is from RNAcentral.
GACGAACGCUGGCGGCGUGCCUAAUACAUGCAAGUCGAACGGUUUAGUUCCAAGAGGCUUGCCUUUUGGAACUAGACAGUGGCGGACGGGUGAGUAACACGUAGGCAACCUACCUGUCAAACCGGGAUAACCUCGGGAAACCGAAGCUAAACCCGGAUAAGCUCCUUUUUCGCAUGAAGGGGGAGUGAAAAGGUGCGACCUGAUGACAGAUGGGCCUGCGGCGCAUUAGCUAGUAGGUAGGGGAACGGCCUACCUAGGCGAUGAUGCGUAGCCGACCUGAGAGGGCGUACGGCCACACUGGGACUGAGAUACGGCCCAGACUCCUACGGGAGGCAGCAGUAGGGAAUCUUCGGCAAUGGGCGAAAGCCUGACCGAGCAACGCCGCGUGAGUGAGGAUGGCCUUCGGGUUGUAAAACUCUGUUGUUUGGGAAGAAGGGAAAGGGUAGGACCCUUAGGUGACGGUACCAAACGAGAAAGCCCCGGCUAACUACGUG